AACGAACGCUUGCUGCAUGCUUUAUACAUGCAAGUCGAACGAAGGCCCUAGCUUGCUAGGUGUCCUUAGUGGCGCACGGGUGAGUAACACGUGGGAACAUACCUCAUAGUACGGAAUAACUGCGGGAAACUGUAGCUAAUACCGUAUAUUCCAGAAAUGGGAAAGAUUUAUCGCUAUGAGAUUGGCCCGCGCAAGAUUAGCUUGUUGGUAAGGUAAUGGCUUACCAAGGCUCCGAUCUUUAGCUGGUUUGAGAGGAUGAUCAGCCACACUGGGACUGAGACACGGCCCAGACUCCUACGGGAGGCAGCAGUAGGGAAUAUUGGACAAUGGGGGAAACCCUGAUCCAGCAAUGCAGCGUGAGUGACGAAGGCCUUAGGGUUGUAAAACUCUUCCAUCGGUGAGGAUAAUGACAGUAGCCGAAGAAGAAGGACCGGCUAAUUCCGUGCCAGCAGCCGCGGUAAUACGGAAGGUCCUAGCGUUGUUCGGAAUUACUGGGCGUAAAGCGCAUGUAGGCGGAACAAAAAGUUAGAAGUGAAAUCCCUGGGCUCAACCUAGGAAUGGCUUUUAAAACUUUUGUUCUGGAAUUCAGGAGAGGAAAAUGGAAUUUCCAGUGUAGAGGUGAAAUUCGUAGAUAUUGGAAGGAACACCAGUGGCGAAGGCGAUUUUCUGGACUGAUAUUGACGCUGAGAUGCGAAGGCAUGGGUAGCAAACGGGAUUAGAUACCCCGGUAGUCCAUGCAGUAAACGAUGGGUGCUAGUCGUCGGACUUUUGUUCGGUGUCGUAGCUAACGCGUUAAGCACCCCGCCUGGGGGAGUACGGUCGCAAGAUUAAAACUCAAAUAAAUUGACGGGGACCCGCACAAGCAGUGGAGCAUGUGGUUUAAUUCGACGCAACGCGAAGAACCUUACCAGCGUUUGACAUGGGAAGUGCCGGUUACAGAAUGGUAACCUUCAGUUCGGCUGGC
RNAcentral lists this ribosomal RNA (964 nucleotides) under uncultured bacterium. RNAcentral's name for it is "bacterial SSU rRNA". It matches the Rfam family "Bacterial small subunit ribosomal RNA", at positions 28 to 1027 of the family's 1533-position model. The record is from RNAcentral.